AGAGCGAACGCUGGCGGCAGGCUUAACACAUGCAAGUCGAGCGGAUGUAGCAAUACAUCAGCGGCAGACGGGUGAGUAACACGUGGGAACGUACCUUUUGGUUCGGAACAACACAGGGAAACUUGUGCUAAUACCGGAUAAGCCCUUACGGGGAAAGAUUUAUCGCCGAAAGAUCGGCCCGCGUCUGAUUAGCUAGUUGGUGAGGUAAUGGCUCACCAAGGCGACGAUCAGUAGCUGGUCUGAGAGGAUGAUCAGCCACAUUGGGACUGAGACACGGCCCAAACUCCUACGGGAGGCAGCAGUGGGGAAUAUUGGACAAUGGGCGCAAGCCUGAUCCAGCCAUGCCGCGUGAGUGAUGAAGGCCCUAGGGUUGUAAAGCUCUUUGUGCGGGAGAUAAUGACGGUACCGCAAGAAUAAGCCCGGCUAACUUCGUGCCAGCAGCCGC
This 445-nucleotide ribosomal RNA is filed under the name uncultured bacterium. RNAcentral's name for it is "SSU rRNA". It matches the Rfam family "Bacterial small subunit ribosomal RNA", at positions 26 to 518 of the family's 1533-position model. The record is from RNAcentral.